GACCGGCGCAAGGGUGCGUAACGCGUGAGCAACAUGCCCGUAUCAGGGGAAUAAUCCAGGGAAACUUGGUCUAAUACCCCAUAGUAAAUAUUAAAGGCAUCUUUAAUAUUUUAAAGCUUUGGUGGAUACGGAUUGGCUCGCGUGACAUUAGCUGGAUGGUAAGGUAACGGCUUACCAUGGCUACGAUGUCUAGGGGUUCUGAGAGGAAGAUCCCCCACACUGGAACUGAGACACGGUCCAGACUCCUACGGGAGGCAGCAGUGAGGAAUAUUGGACAAUGGAUGGAAAUCUGAUCCAGCCAUGCCGCGUGCAGGAAGACGGCCCUAUGGGUUGUAAACUGCUUUUAUAUGGGAGCAAUAAGGCCUACGUGUAGGUUGAUGAGAGUACCAUAUGAAUAAGCACCGGCUAACUCCGUGCCAGCAGCCGCGGUAAUACGGAGGGUGCAAGCGUUAUCCGGAUUUAUUGGGUUUAAAGGGUGCGUAGGCGGUUUGAUAAGUCAGCGGUGAAAUAUUUCAGCUUAACUGGAAGGGUGCCGUUGAUACUGUCAGGCUUGAAUUUAGUUGCUGUGGGUGGAAUGUGUGGUGUAGCGGUGAAAUGCAUAGAUAUCACACAGAAUAUCGAUUGCGAAGGCAGCUCACAAAGCUAACAUUGACGCUGAUGCACGAAAGUGUGGGGAUCAAACAGGAUUAGAUACCCUGGUAGUCCACACUGUAAACGAUGAUAACUCGCUGUCGGCGAUACAUAGUCGGUGGCCAAGCGAAAGCGAUAAGUUAUCCACCUGGGGAGUACGACCGCAAGGUUGAAACUCAAAGGAAUUGACGGGGGCCCGCACAAGCGGAGGAACAUGUGGUUUAAUUCGAUGAUACGCGAGGAACCUUUACCGGGCUCGAACGGUGCAUGAAUGAU
RNAcentral lists this ribosomal RNA (906 nucleotides) under uncultured bacterium. RNAcentral's name for it is "bacterial SSU rRNA". It matches the Rfam family "Bacterial small subunit ribosomal RNA", at positions 93 to 999 of the family's 1533-position model. The record is from RNAcentral.